This 492-nucleotide ribosomal RNA is filed under the name uncultured bacterium. RNAcentral describes it as "partial 16S ribosomal RNA". It matches the Rfam family "Bacterial small subunit ribosomal RNA", at positions 29 to 507 of the family's 1533-position model. The record is from RNAcentral.
AGUGAACGCUGGCGGUAGGCCUAACACAUGCAAGUCGAACGGCAGCACAGUAAGAGCUUGCUCUUACGGGUGGCGAGUGGCGGACGGGUGAGGAAUACAUCGGAAUCUACUUUUUCGUGGGGGAUAACGUAGGGAAACUUACGCUAAUACCGCAUACGACCUACGGGUGAAAGCAGGGGAUCUUCGGACCUUGCGCGAUUGAAUGAGCCGAUGUCGGAUUAGCUAGUUGGCGGGGUAAAGGCCCACCAAGGCGACGAUCCGUAGCUGGUCUGAGAGGAUGAUCAGCCACACUGGAACUGAGACACGGUCCAGACUCCUACGGGAGGCAGCAGUGGGGAAUAUUGGACAAUGGGCGCAAGCCUGAUCCAGCCAUACCGCGUGGGUGAAGAAGGCCUUCGGGUUGUAAAGCCCUUUUGUUGGGAAAGAAAAGCAGCAGGUUAAUACCCCGCCGUUCUGACGGUACCCAAAGAAUAAGCACCGGCUAACUUUGUG